GUAAAAUGGCUGAGUUAGGUAAUAAACUGUAAAUUUAUUUAGGAAUAUUAAUAUUCUUUUACCG
This 64-nucleotide transfer RNA is filed under the name Ptilodactylidae sp. 2 ACP-2013. RNAcentral's name for it is "tRNA-Tyr". Lineage: Eukaryota; Metazoa; Arthropoda; Insecta; Coleoptera; Ptilodactylidae. The record is from RNAcentral.